RNAcentral lists this small RNA (1881 nucleotides) under Pongo abelii (Sumatran orangutan). Its description in RNAcentral is "processed transcript". The record is from RNAcentral. Lineage: Eukaryota; Metazoa; Chordata; Mammalia; Primates; Hominidae.
AUCUCCCGGCGGGCCGAGCGCUGAAGGCAGCGGCGCGGCGCGGCGCCUUUGUGGUAGCAGUGGCCCCGCGCGGAGGAAGUUCCGGUCCCCGCGGCGCUGGGUCGGUGGCGGAGGCUGAGGAGAAGGAGGAGCGGGCCGUGGAGGCUUCGCCGCCUAGGUACAGCUAUAACCAGAAUUUGGUAGAAAAAGGAUCUACUUGUUGGGGCCCUCUUGAUAAAAAGAGAUGUGGGGGGAUCCUCGACCUGCUAACAGAACUGGACCUUUUCGGAUCAAGAUUAUAGGACCGGCCCAAGUGAGGAGAAACCCAGCAGGCUUAUUCGAUUAAGUGGGGUGCCUGAAAAUGCCACAAAAGAAGAGAUUCUUAAUGCUUUUCGGACUCCUGAUGGCAUGCCUGUGAAGAACUUGCAGUUGAAGGAGUAUAACACAGGUUACGACUAUGGCUAUGUCUGCGUGGAGUUUUCACUCUUGGAAGAUGCCAUCGGAUGCAUGGAGGCCAACCAGGGAACUCUAAUGAUCCAGGACAAAGAAGUUACCCUGGAGUAUGUACCAAGCCUGGAUUUUUGGUACUGCAAACGAUGUAAGGCAAGCAUUGGUGGGCACCGAUCUUCCUGUUCAUUCUGCAAGAACCCAAGAGAAGUGACAGAGGCCAAGCAAGAAUUAAUAACCUACCCUCAACCUCAGAAAACAUCCAUACCAGCACCAUUGGAAAAACAGCCCAACCAGCCCCUAAGACCAGCUGAUAAGGAACCUGAACUCAGGAAGAGGGAAGAAGGACAGGAGUCACGCUUAGGACAUCAAAAGAGAGAAGCAGAAAGGUAUCUGCCUCCUUCUCGAAGGGAAGGGCCAACUUUCCGAAGAGACCGAGAGAAGGAGUCAUGGUCUGGAGAGACACGCCAGGAUGGAGAGAGCAAAACCAUCAUGCUAAAGCGUAUCUAUCGUUCCACACCACCUGAGGUGAUAGUGGAAGUGCUGGAGCCCUAUGUCCGCCUUACUACUGCCAACGUCCGUAUCAUCAAGAACAGAACAGGCCCUAUGGGGCAUACCUAUGGCUUUAUUGACCUCGACUCCCAUGCGGAAGCUCUUCGUGUGGUGAAGAUCUUACAGAACCUUGAUCCACCAUUUAGCAUUGAUGGGAAGAUGGUAGCUGUAAACCUGGCCACUGGAAAACGAAGAAAUGAUUCUGGGGACCAUUCUGACCACAUGCAUUACUAUCAGGGUAAAAAAUAUUUCCGAGAUAGGAGGGGAGGUGGCAGAAAUUCAGACUGGUCUUCAGAUACAAAUCGACAAGGACAACAGUCAUCAUCUGACUGCUACAUAUAUGAUUCUGCUACUGGCUACUAUUAUGACCCCUUGGCAGGAACUUAUUAUGACCCCAAUACCCAGCAAGAAGUCUAUGUGCCCCAGGAUCCUGGAUUACCUGAGGAAGAAGAGAUCAAGGAAAAAAAACCCACCAGUCAAGGAAAGUCAAGUAGCAAGAAGGAAAUGUCUAAAAGAGAUGGCAAGGAGAAAAAAGACAGAGGAGUGACGAGGUUUCAGGAAAAUGCCAGUGAAGGGAAGGCCCCCGCAGAAGACGUCUUUAAGAAGCCCCUGCCUCCUACUGUGAAGAAGGAAGAGAGUCCCCCUCCAAUGCCUUCAAGCAAUAGUCUCAACCUAAUCACCAGUGAUUCUGAUUGAAUGCAGCCUAAAGUGGUAAACCCACUGAUCGGCCUUUUGGGUGAAUAUGGAGGAGACAGUGACUAUGAGGAGGAAGAAGAGGAGGAACAGACCCCUCCCCCACAGCCCCGCACAGCACAGCACCAGAAGCGAGAGGAGCAAACCAAGAAGGAGAAUGAAGAAGACAAACUCACUGACUGGAAUAAACUGGCUUGUCUGCUCUGCAGA